This 353-nucleotide ribosomal RNA is filed under the name uncultured bacterium. RNAcentral's name for it is "bacterial SSU rRNA". It matches the Rfam family "Bacterial small subunit ribosomal RNA", at positions 158 to 507 of the family's 1533-position model. The record is from RNAcentral.
CUGUGCUAAUACCGCAUACCGCCCUGGAGGGGAAAGCGGGGGAUCGAAAGACCUCGCGCGAUUAGAGCGGCCGAUGCCUGAUUAGCUUGUUGGUGGGGUAAAAGCCCACCAAGGCGACGAUCAGUAGCUGGUCUGAGAGGACGAUCAGCCACACUGGGACUGAGACACGGCCCAGACUCCUACGGGAGGCAGCAGNGGGAAUUUUGGACAAUGGGGAAACCCUGAUCCAGCCAUGCCGCGUGUGUGAAGAAGGCCUUCGGGUUGUAAAGCACUUUUGUUGGGGAAGAAAAGCAGCCAGUUAAUACCUGGUUGUUCUGACGGUACCCAAAGAAUAAGCACCGGCUAACUUCGUG